This 58-nucleotide transfer RNA is filed under the name Apaloderma vittatum (bar-tailed trogon). It matches the Rfam family "tRNA", at positions 8 to 63 of the family's 71-position model. Rfam says of the family: Transfer RNA (tRNA) molecules are approximately 80 nucleotides in length. Their secondary structure includes four short double-helical elements and three loops (D, anti-codon, and T loops). Further hydrogen bonds mediate the characteristic L-shaped molecular structure. tRNAs have two regions of fundamental functional importance: the anti-codon, which is responsible for specific mRNA codon recognition, and the 3' end, to which the tRNAs corresponding amino acid is attached (by aminoacyl-tRNA synthetases). tRNAs cope with the degeneracy of the genetic code in two manners: having more than one tRNA (with a specific anti-codon) for a particular amino acid; and 'wobble' base-pairing, i.e. permitting non-standard base-pairing at the 3rd anti-codon position. Lineage: Eukaryota; Metazoa; Chordata; Aves; Trogoniformes; Trogonidae. The record is from Rfam by way of RNAcentral.
UAGCUCAGUUGGUUGAGCGUGGUGCUGAUAACACCAAGGUCGUGAGUUCGAUCCCCGU